Long non-coding RNA from Drosophila subobscura, 601 nucleotides. RefSeq lists it as uncharacterized. The transcript is spliced from 3 exons. The record is from RefSeq and is a predicted model, not a curated record. NCBI's taxonomy places the organism in Eukaryota, Metazoa, Arthropoda, Insecta, Diptera, Drosophilidae.
AUUUUUUGCUAAUUUAACAAUUUAAUUGAAAAACAAUUGAAAUAGUACUAUAAUAAUAGUAUUCAAGUACUAAAAACGUAGGUAAACCGAUAAACAGCCAUGGCGGAAGCCGCAGCAUGCCAAUUGCAGUACGAGAACAAGGAGAACUAUGUAUAUUCUCUUGCUGCAAGCCGGCGUACGACUGGCUAUCUACUAGUUGGUGGGCACGCAAAUGAGUGACCACGCGGAAUGACACAAGCGUGUCAUAGGCACUGUGGGAAGAUAUCAUAGAUGGCAAGGAUGCCAUAAAUACACUGACUUUGAUUACAGAUAUUGCUUCCAGCAAGGGAAUUCUCUGCGAGAAUUCGGUGGAAAUGCUGCUGGGCUACGAUUGGACUCUGUCAAGCAGCAGAAGCUGAACCUCAGGUCCAUGGCCAGGGUUAACGUAAGCGGAUUCGCGAAAAUAUACACGGAGACUCGCCAAUAUCAAAGAUUCUGAGGUUGCGUCAACUGUAGCAGCUCGAUGCGCUGGCCUUGACCUGUGCCUGCCAUAGAUCUGGCCCAGAUGGUAACUCAGAGCAAUAGCAAGGAACCAUAUUUACAAUAAUUGCCGCACAAUAGU